This 591-nucleotide long non-coding RNA is filed under the name Nicotiana benthamiana. RNAcentral describes it as "long non-coding RNA (NBEN_LNC027882)". The record is from RNAcentral. Lineage: Eukaryota; Viridiplantae; Streptophyta; Magnoliopsida; Solanales; Solanaceae.
CCAGCACAAAUAAAUAGGGUGACAUAGGGUCACCUUGUCUAAUACACCUUUUGGCUUUGAACGGCUUUGUGAGACCUCCAUAUAGCAUGAGGGAAUAAGAGACGGUUGUGACACAAGCCAUUAUCCAUUGCACAAAUAUAGCAGGAAAGCCCAUAUCAAUUAAUACUUGAUUGAGGAACCUCCAUUUCAAUGUGUCAUAAGCCUUUCUUAGGUCCACCUUCAAGACACAUGUAGGAGAUAUGGCUUUCCUAGAAUAGCAUUUGAAGAUUUCCUGACUGAGGAUAAUGUUAUCCACAAUGCUUCUACCUUCAAUGAAAGCAGAUUGAGCCUGUCCUACCAAUUCACCUAUCACAGUUUUCAUUCUCCUAGUGAUGACUUUGGAGAUGAUCUUAUACAAGGUGGUGCAGCAGGCUAUAGGUCAGUAGUCUUUCACAGUUGCUGGGGUUUUAACAAUCGGGAUAAGAGCUAUAGCAGUAGUAUUAAGAGCUAUAGGUCUGUAGUCUUUCACAGUUGCUGGGGUUUUAACUAUGGGGAUAAGAGCUAUAGCAGUAGUAUUAAUCAUUGGAGGCAUUCUGCAAGUGUUGAAGAAAU